This 247-nucleotide long non-coding RNA is filed under the name Mytilus galloprovincialis (Mediterranean mussel). Lineage: Eukaryota; Metazoa; Mollusca; Bivalvia; Mytilida; Mytilidae. The record is from RNAcentral.
AUACUUUGAUAAGUUAAAGUUAUUUUUGUUAACAUGUGAGACACAUGUUUUUCAAAGAAGGAGGCAAUGUAAUAUUUUAAUGUUUUGUAAAUAUUGACCUCUAGUUUAAUAGUUUGGCUUUAUAACUGUUUAUUUGUAUACAGAGAAAAUUAAUGACGCAAGGCUAAUAUGACAAGUUGCUAGUUUAUUAUCUGCAGUUAAAGUUGAACUGUCAGAUGUGAUUAAGACCAGAAACGAUGUCCUGGUG